UACGGAGGAUGCGAGCGUUAUCCGGAUUUAUUGGGUUUAAAGGGUGCGUAGGCGGCCGAGUAAGUCAGCGGUGAAAUUUUGCAGCUUAACUGUAACAGUGCCGUUGAUACUGCCAGGCUAGGAUUUGGUUGCUGUGGGUGGAAUGUGUGGUGUAGCGGUGAAAUGCAUAGAUAUUACACAGAACACCGAUUGCGAAGGCAGCUUACUAAUCCAUCAUUGACGCUGAGGCACGAAAGCGUGGGGAUCAAACAGGA
RNAcentral lists this ribosomal RNA (254 nucleotides) under uncultured prokaryote. RNAcentral's name for it is "partial 16S ribosomal RNA". It matches the Rfam family "Bacterial small subunit ribosomal RNA", at positions 524 to 777 of the family's 1533-position model. The record is from RNAcentral.